Molecule: long non-coding RNA, 2179 nt
Filed under: Marmota monax (woodchuck)
Lineage: Eukaryota; Metazoa; Chordata; Mammalia; Rodentia; Sciuridae
Source: RNAcentral
GCUGAGGUUGACCUUGAACUUGUGACCUUCCUACCUCAGCCUCUCAAGUUGCUGGGAUCACAGGUAUAUGUCACUGCACCUUGCAAAUCAAUGGAAAUGGACAGUGUGACUCAGCCAAAGCCAUGUCAAGCAUAUGAAAGGACAUCACCACCUGCAUUGCUGCUAUGGAACAUGACCUUCAAGUCACCAUUGGACCAUCUAGGCCAGCAAGAACAAAUUCCUAAACAUUUCUGCAGGAUUUUGCAUCAUGAGUUAGUCAUCUCAGCCCAGGUCUCAAGCCUGUCUUCCAGCAGCCAACCAGGAGGAAUCUGGCUCCCUCUCCUACCAAGACCCAUACAGUGAGGCAUAGUGGGUUUUCAGAUGCUGAUGGGCAAUUAUGAUCAUGACAGUACAGUCCCUUCUACCUUGAGGUCUCACAGCUUAUUGGUCUGAAAAUGGGGAAAACCAGAAAUAACUUGAAUAGCACAAUAGGGAACAAAUUAUGAAGUAAGAUCCUGCUCUAGAGAAUUCCUCCAACUAAUGCCGGAGAGGGUAACUUCUGACCCAGUGACAACAGAGACUAGGUCAGAAAGUAAGAACACACAGGCAAUGCUCUCAUUAGUUGGGGUGGGAGGGAUGUUGACUGAAGGAGGAGGAGAGAGAGAAAGAGAGGAAGGAAGAGGGAAAAGGACAGGGAGAGAGAGAGAGAGAAACAGGGAAAGGGGUAAGUGGGGGAGAUCAUGCCACUCCUAGAACAAAGGAAGAAUAAGUCUUUUUCAUGGUACCAGGGAUGGAAGCCAGGGGGACUCAAUCACUGGGCCAAACCCCCAGCUCUUCUUAUAUUUUAUUUUGAUAUUGGGUCCCCUUAAGUUGCUUACAGCCUCCCUAAAUUGCUGAAACUGGCCAUGAACUCCUGAUCUUCCUGCCUCAGCCUCCUGAACCACUGGGAUUACAGGCAUGCACUGGACAAGGACUAAGCCUUUCAACAGGUUGCUGGGGUAGGCUAGGGAGAAGUCUUAUGACUUGAGGGGGCCAUCUGGUUCCUAUGAGAUGAUUCUCCUGCUUAGAAGAAUGGGUAAUUGCUCCUGCUUGAGAAGGAGGGCAGUGUCGCUUCAGUUGUUUCUGGAAGGGUAGGACAAUGACUGAAGACUUCUAGGCAUCCUUCAUGGGGUCUGGAACAGAACAUUGUAAAAUCUGGCAAUUGAGUGUCCCUGCAAAUGUUGAAAAUAGCUUAGUUAUUCUUAUCUUGGUGUGCUCAGUCUUGAAAGGGAAAGGUUAGGUAAAUUUAGGGCUAAUAAACCUUGUUUGACCAGUUUAAAGAUAAACACUCCUUAAAUUAAUAUGUCUAUAUGCAGAAAUGAGCAAGAAUCUGACCCAAAGUUUAAGACAAAUGAGACAGAUCCAAAAUGGAGAAGGCAAUGCCAGUUUUGAUCCUUCUUCAGUUACCUCUUGGGCGUCAGCAGGCCCCAGUGAGGAUUUGGUGGUUUUUCUAGCAAAAGAAGUUAAUCCCUGUUACAAUCCAGGGCUUGAGCUUGUCUAGUGUUUGUGGUACUUUUAAUGGGAAAUAGGCAAUGGGUUAAAGCCCUGAGAGUACAUCUACCCUCGCACCCUGUAAUCGUCCCUGUCUCACAAUCAUCUCCCAAAAAUCUAAUUUUACAAAACCAUCCCAUCACUAAGAGAGACUAAUGUCAAGAUGAAAUCUCAUAAGAAUCUAUUUCUUGGGCAUUUUUUUUCCACACAGGGAAUUGUACAAAUCUAGCUAUCUUUGACUGAAGUUUCCCCAUCAACUACAUCAAGACAGAUGGGCUCCUCCUUGUAAGUCCAACAGCACUGGAUCCUUCCAGGGCACUUCCAGAUCUGCAUCCAGAACUGAAAAGGACUUAAGUGAGCAGCUACUCAAGAAGGGGCAGGGAGCCAAACCUUCCUGCCAGCUUGCUGUGCAUAAGCUAAAACAACCUGCCAGGUAGAGUAUUUUUAUUGCCUUAACAGCUUGAAGAGAGAAGUAUCUAAAGAAACUCGGCUGGCUACAAAAGGUUUGAAUGAGAAAAUGUCUCUUUUGUCUUUUUGAAAAAUUCCCCCCCCCCAGUCAUUUUUAUCAAUGUGCUUUUAUUUGGCACCUUAUAUAUACAAGACUCUUAGGUCAGCCACUUUGAAGAAGCAUCUUAUAGCUCAAGAUAUUAUUCAGUUAAGCAAAUAAAAU